Molecule: ribosomal RNA, 559 nt
Filed under: uncultured bacterium
Lineage: Bacteria
Description: bacterial SSU rRNA
Rfam family: Bacterial small subunit ribosomal RNA
Source: RNAcentral
UCCUACGGGAGGCAGCAGUGGGGAAUCUUGCACAAUGGAGGAAACUCUGAUGCAGCGAUGCCGCGUGAGUGAAGAAGGCCCUUGGGUUGUAAAGCUCUUUUGUCGGGAAAGAUAAUGACUGUACCCGAAGAAUAAGGUCCGGCUAACUUCGUGCCAGCAGCCGCGGUAAUACGAAGGGACCUAGCGUAAUUCGGAAUUACUGGGCGUAAAGCGCGCGUAGGCGGUUAAGUAAGUUAAUUGUGAAAGCCCAAAGCUCAACUUUGGAAUUGCAAUUAAAACUACUUAGCUAGAGUUUAUCAGAGGAAAGCGGAAUACAUAGUGUAGAGGUGAAAUUCGUAGAUAUUAUGUAGAACACCAGUUGCGAAGGCGGCUUUCUGGGAUAACACUGACGCUGAGGUGCGAAAGUAUGGGUAGCGAAGAGGAUUAGAUACCCUCGUAGUCCAUACCGUAAACGAUGAUUGUUAGAUGUUGGAAAUUUAUUUUCAGUAUCACAGCUAACGCGUGAAACAAUCCGCCUGGGGAGUACGACCGCAAGGUUAAAACUCAAAUGAAUUGACGG